Molecule: long non-coding RNA, 397 nt
Filed under: Erythranthe guttata (spotted monkey flower)
Lineage: Eukaryota; Viridiplantae; Streptophyta; Magnoliopsida; Lamiales; Phrymaceae
Description: long non-coding RNA (EGUT_LNC002151)
Source: RNAcentral
UAAAUAAUAAAUUAAAAAUCAAAAGUCAUUGUUAGAUCCAAAAACGUCUUUGACUUUUGAUUAGUUCAUAUGUGAAAUCAUCAUUCAAGAACAUAUUAAAGCAUUAUUCAUCAGACUUUUGAUUUAGUUCGUAGCUUCAGUCAUCACUCGGCAUCCAAGAACUAACUAACUCUAUGUCAGAAAUUGUGAUGCAAAAAAGAAAAAAAAAGGAAAAGGUCAAAUGAUAAAGCAAAAUUGAGAAAAAUAUUUGCAUUCCUCAAAUUUCAAUAACCAAAUAUUGAUAAAACUCAUUUGCAUUCCUCAAAUUUCGAGAACCAAAUAUUGAUAAAACUCAAAAGGUCUUCGUUCCUUGAAUAUAUUGGAAAUUCUUGAGGGUUCACAAAAUACAUACAUGGCU